GAUAAACGCUGGCGGCGUGCCUAACACAUGCAAGUCGAACGAUCCCGCAAGGGAGAGUGGCGGAAGGGUGAGUAACACGUGGGAAUCUACCUCCUCGCAGGGGAACAACCUCUCGAAAGAGAGGCUAAUACCCAAAGGGUCAGAAAUGAUCAGAGUCGAAAGGCGUGAGGAGAGGAGCCCGCGGCCCAUCAGCUAGUUGGUGAGGUAAUGGCUUACCAAGGCUACGACGGGUAGGGGAUCUGAGAGGAUGUCCCCCACACUGGAACUGAAACACGGUCCAGACGCCUACGGGUGGCAGCAGUGAGGAAUAUUGGACAAUGGGCGAAAGCCCGAUCCAGCAACGCCGCGUGGAGGAUGAAGGCCUUCGGGUCGUAAACUUCUUUAGAGGGAGACGAGAAAGGACGGUAUCCCUAGAAUAAGCGACGGCAAACUACGUGCCAGCAGCCGCGGUAAU
This 454-nucleotide ribosomal RNA is filed under the name uncultured bacterium. Its description in RNAcentral is "bacterial SSU rRNA". It matches the Rfam family "Bacterial small subunit ribosomal RNA", at positions 28 to 524 of the family's 1533-position model. The record is from RNAcentral.